Molecule: ribosomal RNA, 589 nt
Filed under: uncultured bacterium
Lineage: Bacteria
Description: bacterial SSU rRNA
Rfam family: Bacterial small subunit ribosomal RNA
Source: RNAcentral
UCCUACGGAAGGCAGCAGAAGGGAAUCUUCCGCAAUGGACGAAAGUCUGACGGAGCAACGCCGCGUGAGUGAUGUAGGUUUUCGGAUCGUAAAGCUCUGUUGUUAGGGAAGAACAAGUGCGAGAGUAACUGCUCGCACCUCGACGGUACCUAACCAGAAAGCCACGGCUAACUACGUGCCAGCAGCCGCGGUAAUACGUAGGUGGCAAGCGUUGUCCGGAAUUAUUGGGCGUAAAGGGCUCGCAGGCGGUUUCUUAAGUCUGAUGUGAAAGCCCCCGGCUCAACCGGGGAGGGUCAUUGGAAACUGGGAAACUUGGGUGCAGAAGAGGAGAGUGGAAUUCCACGUGUAGCGGUGAAAUGCGUAGAGAUGUGGAGGAACACCAGUGGCGAAGGCGACUCUCUGGUCUGUAACUGACGCUGAGGAGCGAAAGCGGGGGGAGCGAACAGGAUUAGAUACCCUGGUAGUCCACGCCGUAAACGAUGAGUGCUAAGUGUUAGGGGGUUUCCGCCCCUUAGUGCUGCAGCUAACGCAUUAAGCACUCCGCUUGGGGAGUACGGUCGCAAGACUGAAACUCAAAUGAAUUGACGGA